ACGACUCUCGACAACGGAUAUCUCGGCUCUCGCAUCGAUGAAGAACGCAGCGAAAUGCGAUACUUGGUGUGAAUUGCAGAAUCCCGUAAACCAUCGAGUCUUUGAACGCAAGUUGCGCCCGAAGCCAUUAGGCUGAGGGCACGUCUGCCUGGGUGUCA
This 158-nucleotide ribosomal RNA is filed under the name Angelica sinensis (Chinese angelica). RNAcentral's name for it is "5.8S ribosomal RNA". It matches the Rfam family "5.8S ribosomal RNA". From Rfam's summary of the family: 5.8S ribosomal RNA (5.8S rRNA) is a component of the large subunit of the eukaryotic ribosome. It is transcribed by RNA polymerase I as part of the 45S precursor that also contains 18S and 28S rRNA. The record is from RNAcentral. Lineage: Eukaryota; Viridiplantae; Streptophyta; Magnoliopsida; Apiales; Apiaceae.